UGCUCUCGGGUGACGAGUGGCGGACGGGUGAGUAAUGUCUGGGAAACUGCCUGAUGGAGGGGGAUAACUACUGGAAACGGUAGCUAAUACCGCAUAACGUCGCAAGACCAAAGAGGGGGACCUUCGGGCCUCUUGCCAUCAGAUGUGCCCAGAUGGGAUUAGCUAGUAGGUGGGGUAACGGCUCACCUAGGCGACGAUCCCUAGCUGGUCUGAGAGGAUGACCAGCCACACUGGAACUGAGACACGGUCCAGACUCCUACGGGAGGCAGCAGUGGGGAAUAUUGCACAAUGGGCGCAAGCCUGAUGCAGCCAUGCCGCGUGUAUGAAGAAGGCCUUCGGGUUGUAAAGUACUUUCAGCGGGGAGGAAGGCAUUGUGGUUAAUAACCACAGUGAUUGACGUUACCCGCAGAAGAAGCACCGGCUAACUCCGUGCCAGCAGCCGCGGUAAUACGGAGGGUGCAAGCGUUAAUCGGAAUUACUGGGCGUAAAGCGCACGCAGGCGGUCUGUCAAGUCGGAUGUGAAAUCUCCGGGCUCAACCUGGGAACUGCAUUCGAAACUGGCAGGCUUGAGUCUUGUAGAGGGGGGUAGAAUUCCAGGUGUAGCGGUGAAAUGCGUAGAGAUCUGGAGGAAUACC
RNAcentral lists this ribosomal RNA (635 nucleotides) under Enterobacter sp. Its description in RNAcentral is "bacterial SSU rRNA". It matches the Rfam family "Bacterial small subunit ribosomal RNA", at positions 79 to 710 of the family's 1533-position model. Lineage: Bacteria; Pseudomonadati; Pseudomonadota; Gammaproteobacteria; Enterobacterales; Enterobacteriaceae. The record is from RNAcentral.